CGAGGGUGCAAGCGUUAAUCGGAAUUACUGGGCGUAAAGGGAGUGUAGGCGGUUAUCUAAGUCGGAUGUGAAAGCCCUGGGCUCAACCUGGGAAUGGCAUUCGAUACUGGGUAACUAGAGUUUGGUAGAGGUAAGUGGAAUUCCGGGUGUAGCGGUGAAAUGCGUAGAUAUCCGGAGGAACAUCAGUGGCGAAGGCGGCUUACUGGACCAAAACUGACGCUGAGGCUCGAAAGCGUGGGGAGCAAACAGGAUUAGAUACCCGAGUAGUCC
RNAcentral lists this ribosomal RNA (270 nucleotides) under uncultured archaeon. RNAcentral describes it as "partial 16S ribosomal RNA". It matches the Rfam family "Bacterial small subunit ribosomal RNA", at positions 527 to 796 of the family's 1533-position model. The record is from RNAcentral.